RNAcentral lists this non-coding RNA (26 nucleotides) under Homo sapiens (human). Lineage: Eukaryota; Metazoa; Chordata; Mammalia; Primates; Hominidae. The record is from RNAcentral.
UGGGGAACAUAGUGUGACCUUGUUGC